This 990-nucleotide ribosomal RNA is filed under the name Triticum aestivum (bread wheat). RNAcentral describes it as "partial small subunit ribosomal RNA". Lineage: Eukaryota; Viridiplantae; Streptophyta; Magnoliopsida; Poales; Poaceae. The record is from RNAcentral.
AUGAGGGCCUUAUUUUGGAAUGUUAGAGGGUUUGGUGCCUGGGGGCGCCGUGACCAAAUUAAAGAUCUAGUUCGUUCGAACAACAUUGAUUUUGUGGGGCUGGUAGAAACCUUUAAGGAAUCUUUUUCCCCUAAGGAUCUCUCUGCUAUCACGGGCAUGGAUAGAUUCGACUGGCACGUGUUACCCUCCUCGGGUCACUCGGGUGGGAUCUUGAUAGGCUCUAAUAAAGACAUUUUUGAUUUUGUUGCCUACGAUCAUGGGGAAUUUUGGGCUAGCUCUGUAGUUUGUCAUAAAUCCCUGAAUACUCUUUGUGAGUUUAUCGUGGUAUACGGGACUGCUGAUCAUUCUCUGUCUCCCUUAUUUCUUAAUGAACUCUCUGUGAAGAUCGAAUCCUGCAAUCUCCCGAUGGUUAUCGGGGGUGAUCUUAAUCUACUUCGUUGUCCUUCUGAUAAAAGUAACGACAUCUUCUCCUGGCCUUUGGCGAAUGCCUUUAACGACUUUAUCAGUGCCAAUGGUAUUCGUGAGCUUACCCGGGGUGGAGCCCGCUUUACUUGGUCCAAUCACCAGGCUAGUCCAAUUAGAUUAGUUCUUGAUAGAGUGUUCAUUUGUCCCAGGUGGGACUCCUUGUUUCCUAGGGCCUUCCUCGGCGCCAAAUGCAUUGUUGGUUCUGACCAUACCCCUCUAAUUCUUGACGGUGGUUCGAUUAAUCUUAGACCCCCUGCUAGAUUCCAAUUUGACGCCUCUUGGCUGCUCGUUGACGGUUUUAUUGAUAUGUUGGCCACGAAGAUAUCCCUCCUGCUUUCCUCUAAUGCUUGCUCUUUUGGCCCUCUGGAUGACUGGCACUCAUGCUCCUACAACUUGCGUAAAUUUCUCAGAGGUUGGUCUUGUAAUCAUGCGGCGGAGGAUCAGCGAUCCAAAGAUUUCCUUGAGGCAGAGAUCGCGGCGCUACAUCUGACGGCCGACUCUACUGGUCUUUCUGAUGAUGGCUAG